Phoenix dactylifera (date palm) is the source of this 3548-nucleotide non-coding RNA. The record is from RefSeq and is a predicted model, not a curated record. NCBI's taxonomy places the organism in Eukaryota, Viridiplantae, Streptophyta, Magnoliopsida, Arecales, Arecaceae.
CUUUAAAUUUUAAAAUUUGUCUUAGUCUAGAUUUUUCCAAAGGUGAACUUGUUAAUGUAUUCCUCGAUACAUGGCUUAGCGUAAUAAAAAAUGGGUGCCAUGUGGCAUCUAACAAUAAAUGUUAGUCAGUUUUGGUAAUUAAAAGCUAACCGUAAAAGUUUGUCCUUCAGCUCCUUCAGCAUCAGUAUUCCAGUUCUGGGUAUUCAUCGUAGAGUGCCACUCCAUCCUUGAUGUUGAAGCAUCCCUGCGAUUAGUAAGGUUUCUAUUGAAAAUUUGGAGGGUCUUGAAUUAGCAUAGAAGGUUUCCUAGUUGUUGCCGAGAGUUGAAUAAGUUUCCAUCAAACACACCUACUACAGCUCCUUCAGCAUCAGUAUUCCAGUUCUGGGUAUUCAUCGUAGAGUGCCACUCCAUCCUUGAUGUUGAAGCAUCCCUGCGAUUAGUAAGGUUUCUAUUGAAAAUUUGGAGGGUCUUGAAUUGCAUAGAAGGUUUCCUACUUGUUGCCGAGAGUUGAAUAAGUUUCCAUCAAACACACCUACUACAGCUCCUUCAGCAUCAGUAUUCCAGUUCUGGGUAUUCAUCGUAGAGUGCCACUCCAUCCUUGAUGUUGAAGCAUCCCUGCGAUUAGUAAGGUUUCUAUUGAAAAUUUGGAGGGUCUUGAAUUGCAUAGAAGGUUUCCUAGUUGUUGCCGAGAGUUGAAUAAGUUUCCAUCAAACACACCUACUACAGCUCCUUCAGCAUCAGUAUUCCAGUUCUGGGUAUUCAUCGUAGAGUGCCACUCCAUCCUUGAUGUUGAAGCAUCCCUGCGAUUAGUAAGGUUUCUAUUGAAAAUUUGGAGGGUCUUGAAUUGCAUAGAAGGUUUCCUAGUUGUUGCCGAGAGUUGAAUAAGUUUCCAUCAAACACACCUACUACAGCUCCUUCAGCAUCGGUCUUCCAGUUCUGGUUAUUCAUCGUAGAGUGCCACUCCUAUGCUGGAUGUUGAAGCAUCUCUGCGAUUUGGUUAAUAAGGCUUCUAUUGAAAAUUUGGAGGGUCUUGAAUAGCAUAGAAGGUUUCCUAGUUGUUGCCGAGAGUUGAAUAAGUUUCCAUCAUACCCACCUACUACAGACCAAAUUUCAGGGUAAAGAUUGUACGGCGGGAUCAUCAAUGAGGGGUUUCAAGGAUGCCCGACAAAAGCUAGGGUGGAGGUCAACAAGAUGGGCGGUUGCAAUGAUGUUGGUCCAGGACCCUCCACUGAGGUCCACCUGGAGUCCAUGGAGGAGUACAGGACCCUCCACUAGUGUCCACUUGGGGGUCCAUAGAGGAGUAGAGGAUCCUCCAUUGGGGUCCACAAAUCCAUGUAGAAAGAGAAAGAGAGAGGAAGAGAAGAGAGAGAGAAAGUAGUGAGAGAAUUAAGGUGCUAUUGUUUUUUUUGUGUAAAAUGGUUGGGAAUGCCACCAAUUUGAAGACUCGUCCCCUCUCACUCACUCACUCUUUUUAGUUUCUCUCUCUUCUCUUCUUCUCUCUCUACAAAUUUCGAUGAGCCUAGUGGAGGGUCCCAACUUCUUUUCAUGUGGACCUUGGGUUGACCAUAGUAGAGGGUCCUUACUGGCACUGUUGUUACCCAUCAUGCCGGCCACUCUGGCAUUUGUCGGCCAUCCUUGGACCCCAUUGUUGACAAUAGUAAGGGUCCGGCAAGGUGAGGAAGAAAGAAAUUGGAAAGGGAAAAGACUGCUACCUCGGCUUUGGCAAGGCUACGACAGUGACACCAGUAAGGUUCUUCCGAAAGAAGAAGAAAGAGAAACUAUGAUCGACAAUGAGGCUCGAAGGCGUAUCGGGUACGUUUAAAUAAAGGCAGAGGCUAGGGUUUCCUAGCCUCGAUUGCUUGAGAUCUCUGACUCACACCAGGAGCCAUCAAAGGAAAGCGACUCCCAUCAAGAGGCUAUGUCAAAAUUAUAGUGUUAAUGAGAUAACAACUUGCUUAGUUUCCACAAAUUGCAUCUUGAGCCAAAUUUAUGGUAUAUUAUUAAAGGAAAGAGGUGUGUUCCUUAUUUGAUUUCGUCCAUCAAUUUUAUAACCAGGAUACCCUUAGUGUCUCUCUUCAUCAAUUUUACACCUCUAUCUUUUAUCUACACAGUUUUUCUAGACAUUUCAAACUAAUGUUUUACCUCUCUAUCGACCAAUGUUUUGAACUCUUUUUCUCAUCAACCUAUUGUUUGAUAUGCAUUGGACAUGCUUGGAUUGCCAGUAUCUAAGUAAUACAUGUAAUUGAAGGGCAAAUAACCUAAGGUUUCUUGACAUGAAAAACACACCUCUUGAACCAAGUCAAAUUACUUGAGGCUGAACAUAGAAGACAAGCAACUUGCUACGUCGUCCCUCUAUGGUCCGUGAAUAGUUUCUAGCAAAAGGCCACCGAGGUGUUAUUCGGUCAAAGAUCCCUCUCCUACUCCGAUAGUGACCAACAAUGGUGCAAGUGCUUCCAAGGUGGUCCAAACCGCCGGCUCAAACUUCGCAACUGAUGACUCAAAUGAGUGGACUUUGGCAACUAAGACUAGUUAAUGUUGUAAACUUGGUAAGUUUCCUCCCUCAAAUCAUGGUACCAUAGUUUUUCUAUGUUGUCCUACUUUCCCUCUGAUAUGGAUGUCGAGCAAAUCCCGCACACCAUGCAUGUGGAGCCGAAAUCAUUUUCCAAAUCUGUAAAGAUGAUUUUAAAAGUUCAAAUUCAAAAGCCAACUUGUCUAGGAAAGUUUUUCCUAAGAAGACACCUUUUGAAGGUGCAACCGAAACUUGAUCGACUAUGUACAAUUGGCAAGAAGAAUCAAGUUAGUCGAAGGAAGUCAAUGUCCUUGCUUGAAGAGAGACAAGUUGAUGACUCCCUUGUUUCAUUGCUCUAUUAGGCCUUUAAGAAAACAUUUCCAAUUCCAACUCUUCCGCUGCUACUUUAAUCGGGCCCAAGUUGUCAGGCAAUCACUCAGAAGCUCUUAUAGGAAGCAAGAACCUUGCUUGUCCACUCAUGCUACCUUCCCACGUUGUCUCUAUGCCAUUGGAUCUACCAACUUGGUCUCCCCCUUGAGAGGUACAUGUCGACUAGGGGCCGGAUGGAUGGCAUUCUGAUCUCACAGCAACAGCGGCAGAACGGUACUGGACCUACGGGUGGAUCACUAGGUGCCGAUGGACAAAUUUGUGAUGUUCAACCAACUUCGGGAUUGUCGGAUCAAUAGACCCACUCCUGUUGGUGGAUCUGGAUGUGUUGGCAUCAUGUAUGGUCACUUUAAUGCAUGUUUGGCAAGUUGGUGUCUUGGUUGGCCUCAAACCUUAUGGGUUUUUCAAAACCUCCUGAUUUGCCUGGCUUCGGUCAAUUUGAGGUUUCUCCAUCUUGUUAAGAAGUUACUUUGUGGUGAAAGUGUAGAGAGUAUUUUCAAAAUUGUAUUUCUAAUGAAUUUCUACAUUGAUUUUGAUGUAAGUAGGAGCAUUGUCAAGGGAAAGUCGGGAAUAAUCCUUUGAAAGAUCAAGAAAAAGUAAUAAAUAGAAAGAUUCCGAUUUUCUAAAAUAAUAUUCUAGGUUUCAUUUUAGU